RNAcentral lists this ribosomal RNA (468 nucleotides) under uncultured bacterium. RNAcentral describes it as "partial 16S ribosomal RNA". It matches the Rfam family "Bacterial small subunit ribosomal RNA", at positions 28 to 507 of the family's 1533-position model. The record is from RNAcentral.
GAUGAACGCUGGCGGCGUGCUUAACACAUGCAAGUCGAACGGAAAGGCCCAAGCUUGCUUGGGUACUCGAGUGGCGAACGGGUGAGUAACACGUGGGUGAUCUGCCCUGCACUUCGGGAUAAGCCUGGGAAACUGGGUCUAAUACCGGAUAGGACGAUGGUUUGGAUGCCAUUGUGGAAAGUUUUUUCGGUGUGGGAUGAGCUCGCGGCCUAUCAGCUUGUUGGUGGGGUAAUGGCCUACCAAGGCGUCGACGGGUAGCCGGCCUGAGAGGGUGUACGGCCACAUUGGGACUGCGAUACGGCCCAGACUCCUACGGGAGGCAGCAGUGGGGAAUAUUGCACAAUGGGCGCAAGCCUGAUGCAGCGACGCCGCGUGGGGGAUGACGGCCUUCGGGUUGUAAACUCCUUUCGCUAGGGACGAAGCGUUUUUGUGACGGUACCUGGAGAAGAAGCACCGGCUAACUACGUG